UACGUAGGCAGCGAGCGUUGUUCGGAAUUAUUGGGCGUAAAGGGUGCGUAGGCGGUUUGGUAAGUCUCUUGUGAAAUCUAUGGGCUCAACUCAUAGUCUGCAAGGGAAACUGCCGGGCUUGAGUGUGGGAGAGGUGAGUGGAAUUUCCGGUGUAGCGGUGAAAUGCGUAGAUAUCGGAAGGAACACCUGUGGCGAAAGCGGCUCACUGGACCACAACUGACGCUGAUGCACGAAAGCUAGGGGAGCAAACAGG
Molecule: ribosomal RNA, 253 nt
Filed under: uncultured bacterium
Lineage: Bacteria
Description: partial 16S ribosomal RNA
Rfam family: Bacterial small subunit ribosomal RNA
Source: RNAcentral